AGUGAACGCUGGCGGUAGGCCUAACACAUGCAAGUCGAACGGCAGCACAGUAAGAGCUUGCUCUUACGGGUGGCGAGUGGCGGACGGGUGAGGAAUACAUCGGAAUCUACUUUUUCGUGGGGGAUAACGUAGGGAAACUUACGCUAAUACCGCAUACGACCUACGGGUGAAAGCAGGGGAUCUUCGGACCUUGCGCGAUUGAAUGAGCCGAUGUCGGAUUAGCUAGUUGGCGGGGUAAAGGCCCACCAAGGCGACGAUCCGUAGCUGGUCUGAGAGGAUGAUCAGUCACACUGGAACUGAGACACGGUCCAGACUCCUACGGGAGGCAGCAGUGGGGAAUAUUGGACAAUGGGCGCAAGCCUGAUCCAGCCAUACCGCGCGGGUGAAGAAGGCCUUCGGGUUGUAAAGCCCUUUUGUUGGGAAAGAAAAGCAGCAGGUUAAUACCCCGCUGUUCUGACGGUACCCAAAGAAUAAGCACCGGCUAACUUCGUG
RNAcentral lists this ribosomal RNA (492 nucleotides) under uncultured bacterium. RNAcentral's name for it is "partial 16S ribosomal RNA". It matches the Rfam family "Bacterial small subunit ribosomal RNA", at positions 29 to 507 of the family's 1533-position model. The record is from RNAcentral.